Molecule: non-coding RNA, 30 nt
Filed under: Rattus norvegicus (Norway rat)
Lineage: Eukaryota; Metazoa; Chordata; Mammalia; Rodentia; Muridae
Source: RNAcentral
UGACAAAAUGUAACCCUACUCCUAAGUCCA